GCCUCUAGGGUUUUUUUCUUCUUUCAUCCGUAUACCUUCUUCACGCAAACCUACCCCUAAAUCAACCCAGCCACCGCCAUUCAUAUAGUGGGCAAAUGGUUUCCUUCACUCCUUUACACAUGUUUUCAUAAUUUGAUUUUGAUGGUUUUGGGUUGAUUAGGGAAACUGGAGGAAGCAAUUGAGCAGCUCACACAGGCUAUAUUGCUCAAUCUAACCUCAGCAAUUAUGUAUUCAGGUUCUCUCAUCGCGAUCGCUUCAGCCGAAGUCUUCUUCGAAGAACGUUAUCACGGUACCUUCUCUCUCUCUCUCUCUAGCUCUUAUUUUCUAAUUCUUACUUGUUGAUUUUAGCUUGCAUUUCAAGAUUCCUAUGAUUUUUUGGUGGUUUAGUGGAGUGAAUUGAUGUUGAAUUUGAUAUUCCUCGCCGAGAGUCCUAUGAUUUUUCAAUUCAAUUUUUAAUUUGUUGUUAAAUUGUUUAAUUUGUUCCGGUGAGCCUUAUUGUGUUGAUAUGUACAUUCUUUAUCCUUUUUAGUUAUUUAAUUAUGUGUAUUUAAACUUACUUUUCUACUGAUGCAGUGAUGCGCAAGAAAGAGUAGCAUUACUUCUGAUAUCCAUUGUCAGUAUUAAGUGGAUGACCAUUAUUCUCUCUCUCUCUCUCUCUCUCUCUCUCACAGUUUUUCUUUGAUAUCAUUUGACGUUCUCAGUUCAUUUUUCCUUGUGUUGGCUUUGGUUAAUGCUACUAUUGAAUUUUCAUCAAUUGUAUUUAUUUCUGGCAUUGAGACAAUGAGACCAAUGCAACUAAUUAUAGUCCUCAUUUUUUUGUUAAAGAGGAUGUUUUAUUGCUUCACUGUGGAUAAGGGAUCAGAAUGUGAUGAAUUAUGUCUUAGUCGAAUCCCAACUCUCCUUUGCAGUCCAUCGGGAAUCAUGGACCAGAUAGAUGAGUCCUAAACAUCUUUCAAGCUGACCAGUCAUUAUCUUCACCCGGAGGAGCUCCUCUCCAUCAGAUGCAGUAGUAUUAUAGGCGACUUUGUGUCCCUGAUAACUUUUCCAGAAAAUGGAAUGCUGUUGUUCAUUGCUUAACUUUGGAGGCAAAACGAACUUCUGUAGUGGAGAUGGAUGAACUCGUAUAACAAGUUGAAUUGUACAGGACUAGUUGGCACUUGUUACAUUUGUUCAAGGAUUAUAUAUUUUUAGAUAGAUGUGUAUAAAAAAUAUUUGGGUAGACUAGUAAUUAUAUUUUCGGAUAGAUGCGCAUGGAUAAAAAUUUAAAACAUAAUAACAAAUACUUGUUAUGUUUUAAAUUUUUAUGCUAGAUGGAUGUGAUUUAGAAUUUUAAUUAGAGAAAUAUGUACUUUGAAAUUAUUUGUGGAUGAAAAUUUAUAAUAAUUGCCGACUUUUAUUAAACAAGUUAAGGAUUGGAUAAUUU
This is a non-coding RNA of Camellia sinensis, 1423 nucleotides long. Lineage: Eukaryota; Viridiplantae; Streptophyta; Magnoliopsida; Ericales; Theaceae. The record is from RefSeq and is a predicted model, not a curated record.